This 1643-nucleotide long non-coding RNA is filed under the name Phoenix dactylifera (date palm). RNAcentral describes it as "long non-coding RNA (PDAC_LNC009336)". The record is from RNAcentral. Lineage: Eukaryota; Viridiplantae; Streptophyta; Magnoliopsida; Arecales; Arecaceae.
AUAUAGCCAAGUUUCUCUCUUUCUCUCGUAAAACGGUAUGCUACUCGGAAUAGAUCGAUUGCGCCGAUCCAUAGUCCAGAAUAAACAUCAAACACAAAAUAAUAUUUGCAGAGAAUUGAGAGGAGAAAAUUAGAGUGGAAGAAAAAAAUAGGAAAGUAAAUAAAUAUAUUCAAAAGUAAAUAGAGACCGAAAUAAUGAGUUCAAAAUCUAGUUUAAUUUAAAAGUUAAUUUUGAUGGCUGUGUAAUGGAUGAUAAGGCUGUAGUAGGUUAUGCUAUUCAUGUUCACAAUGGUCGGUUGAUAUCAGCAGCAAACAAACUAGUUUGAAAAAUCUCAGUAUCUUAUGCAGAGCUUCUUGCAGCAUGGUAUGAUAUUCACACAUCCAUAUACACUUAUGAAACUUUGCAGGUGUGGGCUGAAGGAGAUUCAUCUACUAUUAUCUCCUGGCUCAAUUCAUCUUAUUCCAAAGUGCAGGUUAACCUAGUUUUGAAGGAUAUUUGGCAGUGGAAGUCUAUUGCUACAAAUUUCCAAGCCUCGAUCCUAUGUGUUUCGGCAGCUAAUCAAGCAGCUGAUUGGAUUGCCGCUCAGCCAAUCAGAUCUCAUGAGGUUUCAUACCAGGACUAUCUCUCAGCUCCAGCAGGAUCCACAAUAAAAUUCAGUUGGAUUUCGAAGAAGAAAACAGCAUCUCGGAUUCACUAUUUUUUGCAGAAGGUGUGGGGAAAGUUUCCAAGCGAAGACAUUUGCUUCAAUUAAUCUGCAAAAAGUAUCAGACUUGCUCUGGAGUCUAAGCAGGUUACUGUCGAGAAUGGCUUGAUGGUCAAUGAAAGGAAUUUGGGUACCCCUGGUGUGAGGACCGGCCCAUUCAACAGCCCAUACCCAGUUGGGCCUAUGGGCCAACCCAAUGUAGCCCGCUAUUUGGAGGCUGCCACCUCCUCCUUUGGGGAGGUCCUGCUGUCAAUAGAGGAGAGGGACAGCUCGCUGAUCGGAGGGACAGCUGCCGGCAGCGUGAGAAGUUACCACCGCUUAAGAGCACUAUCUGUAGGACCUCACCGCACCCUUCCUUACUCCUGAGGGGGAACUCCUUGAACCGACAACGGAGACACCAGAGCAGGGGACGUUGCAGCCAUUUCCAGGGUAAGGUAGACCUUAAUCCUUUAUUUUUUUGAUAAUGGAAAGAAAGAAAGGAAGAAGGAAGGGAGAGCCUACCGGUGUUCUCGGCCGCAGAUCCGGCGCGGUGAGCUUGGCUGCAGCCAUGGUCGCAGCCGUCGACGGCCGGAGGCCCUUCCUCCCCUCCCUCGGGCUCGGCCGGGGACGCCAUGGGCUCGGCCGCAGGCGUCGGCCGCAAGUGCCGCCGGCCGUGACUCAGUCCCUCCCGAGUUCGCCUUCCUCCCGUCGCGGGAGGAGAUAAGGGGGAGGAAAUGAGGGAUCGGGAAAAGAGAGAAGAGAGGAGAAGAGAAAAAGAGAAGAAAAGGGAACGGGAACUCACCGGUUCGUCGUCGCGCGCGGCAGCCACCGGCACGAGGUUACGGGCGUCGAGCGUCGGCCGCGAGUGCGGCCGAGGGCGCUGCGGGCUUCGGCCGCGGGAGUCGGUCACGGGAGCCGGCCGGCCAUGGCUCGACCCCUCAUGAGCUCACCCUCCUCUCUU